Molecule: ribosomal RNA, 415 nt
Filed under: uncultured bacterium
Lineage: Bacteria
Description: partial 16S ribosomal RNA
Rfam family: Bacterial small subunit ribosomal RNA
Source: RNAcentral
UGGGGAAUAUUGCACAAUGGGCGCAAGCCUGAUGCAGCCAUGCCGCGUGUGUGAAGAAGGCCUUCGGGUUGUAAAGCACUUUCAGCGAGGAGGAAGGUGGUGAACUUAAUACGUUCAUCAAUUGACGUUACUCGCAGAAGAAGCACCGGCUAACUCCGUGCCAGCAGCCGCGGUAAUACGGAGGGUGCAAGCGUUAAUCGGAAUUACUGGGCGUAAAGCGCACGCAGGCGGUUUUGUUAAGUCAGAUGUGAAAUCCCCGGGCUCAACCUGGGAACUGCAUUUGAAACUGGCAAGCUAGAUCUCGUAGAGGGGGGUAGAAUUCCAGGUGUAGCGGUGAAAUGCGUAGAGAUCUGGAGGAAUACCGGUGGCGAAGGCGGCCCCCUGGACGAAGACUGACGCUCAGGUGCGAAAGCGU